UGGCUCAGGACGAACGCUGGCGGCGUGCUUAACACAUGCAAGUCGAACGGUGAACUCCGCUUGCGGGGGGAUCAGUGGCGAACGGGUGAGUAACACGUGGGCAACCUGCCCUCAGCUCUGGGAUAACUCCAAGAAAUUGGGGCUAAUACCGGAUAUGACCGCUGACCGCAUGGUCUGGUGGUGGAAAGAUUUAUCGGCUGAGGAUGGGCCCGCGGCCUAUCAGCUUGUUGGUGGGGUAGUGGCCUACCAAGGCGACGACGGGUAGCCGGCCUGAGAGGGUGACCGGCCACACUGGGACUGAGACACGGCCCAGACUCCUACGGGAGGCAGCAGUGGGGAAUAUUGCGCAAUGGGCGAAAGCCUGACGCAGCGACGCCGCGUGGGGGAAGACGGCCUUCGGGUUGUAAACCUCUUUCAGCAGGGACGAAGCGAAAGUGACGGUACCUC
Molecule: ribosomal RNA, 447 nt
Filed under: bacterium mbm05
Lineage: Bacteria
Description: bacterial SSU rRNA
Rfam family: Bacterial small subunit ribosomal RNA
Source: RNAcentral